RNAcentral lists this long non-coding RNA (721 nucleotides) under Diabrotica virgifera virgifera (western corn rootworm). Its description in RNAcentral is "uncharacterized LOC126885215". Lineage: Eukaryota; Metazoa; Arthropoda; Insecta; Coleoptera; Chrysomelidae. The record is from RNAcentral.
UCUCAAUAUGGCUACUGGCUGUAAAAGAUAAAUCUUAUUCUAUCUGUUCUUCAUGAGUUUUAGAUAAUUUUAGUUGUAUUUCUUUGUAAUUUUGUGUUGUACAAAGAUUAAUUUAACAUUUUCUCUGGAAGUAUUAAUUUAGAAAGAUAAUAUGCUUCAUUGGUGUUGUGUUUUGAAUUAUGAAAUGCAAAGUAAUUGUGAUAAAGUCAAGGUAAAGUUCACUUUUAAACUGAACUAAAUAAGGUAUCUGAGAGACAACAAUGGUUAAAUGCAAUACAAUGUACAGGUUUUACUAGCGAAAUGAAAAUUUUCCUGUCCUGUCUGCUGUAAUCAUUUUAUAUCUGGAAAACCAGCCGACUUAAUCGAUAAUAACAAUCUCCAGAUUGGGUUCCUUCAAUAAAUAUGGGCUAUAAACACAAUGAAAUAAGUUCCCCAAAAUCUAAAAUGGAGUGGCAUCAAAGGAGAAUUAAAGGAAAAAAUAUUCGUAUUGAAAUUAUUUAUAAGGCACUGGACUGUCUUAAAUUCUACAAUAAUACUAGAAUCAGCUGAGAGAAGUGGUCUACAAAAAACCAGGAAGGAAACGGAAUAUGUGGCUACGAAAGGCAAAAGAAAGGUUUACAAAGCAAAUGUGACACAUUUUUUUGAAAUAUUUAGGAAUAUCAGUAAAUUGCAUUAAAAAAAUGUAUGAAAAGAUUUUGUUCAAUAAAAAUGUUUAUAUUUA